This 211-nucleotide unclassified non-coding RNA is filed under the name plant metagenome. RNAcentral describes it as "partial contains small subunit ribosomal RNA, internal transcribed spacer 1, and 5.8S ribosomal RNA". The record is from RNAcentral.
UUUCCGUAGGUGAACCUGCGGAAGGAUCAUUCAUAGUAAAGUGUCUUAUGGCACUUUUUAAAAAUCCAUAUCCACCUUGUGUGCAAUGUUAGAUCUCGUCAAUCUUGGCGAGAUUUUUAUACAUCAACUCAUUCUUUAACUAAUUUGUCUGAAAAAUAUUAUGAAUACUUAAUUCAAAAUACAACUUUCAACAACGGAUCUCUUGGCUCUC